Molecule: ribosomal RNA, 253 nt
Filed under: uncultured bacterium
Lineage: Bacteria
Description: partial 16S ribosomal RNA
Rfam family: Bacterial small subunit ribosomal RNA
Source: RNAcentral
UACGGAGGGUGCAAGCGUUAAUCGGAAUUACUGGGCGUAAAGCGCACGCAGGCGGUAAAUUAAGUUAGAUUUGAAAGCCCCGAGCUUAACUUGGGAAUUGCAUCUGAAACUGGUUGUCUAGAGUCUUGUAGAGGAGGGUAGAAUUCCAUGUGUAGCGGUGAAAUGCGUAGAGAUGUGGAGGAAUACCAGUGGCGAAGGCGGCCCCCUGGACAAAGACUGACGCUCAGGUGCGAAGGCGUGGGGAGCGAACAGG